UUUUUGGCUCUUUUUUCAUUAUGAAAUCUUGUUGAGAGCUUCCCGUCUAUGAGAGCUAACUAGUUAGCCACUAGCAAAACGCUAAUGCGAGCUAGCAGCUUGACAACCAAAUACCAGACGAUUAAUAGUAGCUGUAGUAUAGUUGUACAAGCAGUAGUAGUAAUACUAAAAGUACAAGCAGCAGUAGUAGUAUAAACAGCUGUUAGAGUUGUAGAAGUAGUAUCAGCAUUUGUAAUAGUAUUACAAGUUGUAGUAGCAGUUAGUGUACUAAAAACUACUACUAGUAGUAGUCACAUUGCUAUUACUACCACCAAUACUACCAAUAGUAGUUAUAAAGCCUAACUCAUAUAUAUCCAGAUUACCAUCUAUGUUCUUCCUCCAAACCCAUUUUAUGAUUGGGAUUACAGGCAGUUCUUUAGGACUGCUCUCAAAUAAUUGAAAUGUUACUAAACAAGGUUAUACUUAUCAAAUUAAAUAGCUCUGGUCUCCAGUAUAUUGGCGAAUUCGGUUCUUUGUACUUAAUUUAUUAGCAUGAUUUCUUUUUAAUAUGUUGUGUACAGACUAAAUUACUUCUCUGUCUACUUUUCUUACUCCAUGUAGGUUUCCCAGAGACUAUGGGUUGAGGAGGAAUUGGAAGUUUGUCGGCUUAGACCUGGUGUCAUUCCAUCAGUGUUUAACUUCCCGGCUCAUCUUGGAAGAGUACGUGCCAGAAAGACCACGACCAAGCAGCCUUGAGAUCUUAGACAGCGUCUCCUUCUGGUCCCUCUCUAUCUCCCCACACAUCCACCAACCACUGGAACACAUCUCCAAAGUUCUGCCGGGCCAGCUCAGCUUCCCCUCAGAAGAAGUGCCGCCACCUGCCAGAUGAAGGAGUCUUUUGAGAGGCAGCUGGCAUCAUGAUUGGACUGUACUUUGGUCUGUUCCAAUCCAGCUUCAGCUCCAGAGACGGCAGGUGGGACGAGUCAACGGAGGCCGGGUGGACGAAGGCAUGCAGCUGAGUACAAUCCAGAAAACAACAAAUAAGUCAAAGGAAAGAGACAUACAUUGUAGAAUUGUAGUAAUUGUGGGCUGACUGAUUUACUGAUUAUCAGUAUUUUAUUUUUUACUGAUUUACGGUAAUAAAUACAUUUAAAAAUG
Amphiprion ocellaris (clown anemonefish) is the source of this 1137-nucleotide long non-coding RNA. RefSeq lists it as uncharacterized. NCBI's taxonomy places the organism in Eukaryota, Metazoa, Chordata, Actinopteri, Pomacentridae. The transcript is spliced from 2 exons. The record is from RefSeq and is a predicted model, not a curated record.